ACGCUCGACACCUACGGGAGGCAGCAGUGGGGAAUAUUGCACAAUGGGGGAAACCCUGAUGCAGCGACGCCGCGUGAGCGAAGAAGUAUUUCGGUAUGUAAAGCUCUAUCAGCAGGGAAGAAACUGACGGUACCUGACUAAGAAGCACCGGCUAAAUACGUGCCCACAGCCGCGGUAAUCUGAGCGGGCUGGCAAGGC
This 198-nucleotide ribosomal RNA is filed under the name uncultured bacterium. Its description in RNAcentral is "partial 16S ribosomal RNA". It matches the Rfam family "Bacterial small subunit ribosomal RNA", at positions 328 to 539 of the family's 1533-position model. The record is from RNAcentral.